UACACUCCUGCGGGAGGCAGCAGUGGGGAAUCUUGCGCAAUGGGCGAAAGCCUGACGCAGCCAUGCCGCGUGAAUGAUGAAGGUCUUAGGAUUGUAAAAUUCUUUCACCGGGGACGAUAAUGACGGUACCCGGAGAAGAAGCCCCGGCUAACUUCGUGCCAGCAGCCGCGGUAAUACGAAGGGGGCUAGCGUUGCUCGGAAUUACUGGGCGUAAAGGGAGCGUAGGCGGACAUUUAAGUCAGGGGUGAAAUCCCGGGGCUCAACCUCGGAAUUGCCUUUGAUACUGGGUGUCUUGAGUAUGAGAGAGGUGUGUGGAACUCCGAGUGUAGAGGUGAAAUUCGUAGAUAUUCGGAAGAACACCAGUGGCGAAGGCGACACACUGGCUCAUUACUGACGCUGAGGCUCGAAAGCGUGGGGAGCAAACAGGAUUAGAAACCCCGGUAGUCCCAUGAU
RNAcentral lists this ribosomal RNA (453 nucleotides) under uncultured organism. Its description in RNAcentral is "partial 16S ribosomal RNA". It matches the Rfam family "Bacterial small subunit ribosomal RNA", at positions 332 to 801 of the family's 1533-position model. The record is from RNAcentral.